GACGAACGCUGGCGGCGUGCUUAACACAUGCAAGUCGAACGGAAAGGCCCUGCUUUUGUGGGGUGCUCGAGUGGCGAACGGGUGAGUAACACGUGAGUAACCUGCCCUUGACUUUGGGAUAACUUCAGGAAACUGGGGCUAAUACCGGAUAGGAGCUCCUGCUGCAUGGUGGGGGUUGGAAAGUUUCGGCGGUUGGGGAUGGACUCGCGGCUUAUCAGCUUGUUGGUGGGGUAGUGGCUUACCAAGGCUUUGACGGGUAGCCGGCCUGAGAGGGUGACCGGCCACAUUGGGACUGAGAUACGGCCCAGACUCCUACGGGAGGCAGCAGUGGGGAAUAUUGCACAAUGGGCGGAAGCCUGAUGCAGCAACGCCGCGUGCGGGAUGACGGCCUUCGGGUUGUAAACCGCUUUCGCCUGUGACGAAGCGUGAGUGACGGUAAUGGGUAAAGAAGCACCGGCUAACUACGUGCCAGCAGCCGCGGUGAUACGUAGGGUGCGAGCGUUGUCCGGAUUUAUUGGGCGUAAAGGGCUCGUAGGUGGUUGAUCGCGUCGGAAGUGUAAUCUUGGGGCUUAACCCUGAGCGUGCUUUCGAUACGGGUUGACUUGAGGAAGGUAGGGGAGAAUGGAAUUCCUGGUGGAGCGGUGGAAUGCGCAGAUAUCAGGAGGAACACCAGUGGCGAAGGCGGUUCUCUGGGCCUUUCCUGACGCUGAGGAGCGAAAGCGUGGGGAGCGAACAGGCUUAGAUACCCUGGUAGUCCACGCUGUAAACGGUGGGUACUAGGUGUGGGGUCCAUUCCACGGGUUCCGUGCCGUAGCUAACGCUUUAAGUACCCCGCCUGGGGAGUACGGCCGCAAGGCUAAAACUCAAAGGAAUUGACGGGGCCCCGCACAAGCGGCGGAGCAUGCGGAUUAAUUCGAUGCAACGCGUAGAACCUUACCUGGGUUUGACAUGGAUCGGGAGUGCUCAGAGAUGGGUGUGCCUCUUUUGGGGUCGGUUCACAGGUGGUGCAUGCCUGUCGUCAGCUCGUGUCGUGAGAUGCUGGGUUAAGUCCCGCAACGAGCGCAACCCUUGUUCACUGUUGCCAGCACGUUAUGGUGGGGACUCAGUGGAGACCGCCGGGGUCAACUCGGAGGAAGGUGGGGAUGACGUCAAGUCAUCAUGCCCCUUAUGUCCAGGGCUUCACGCAUGCUACAAUGGCUGGUACAGAGAGUGGCGAGCCUGUGAGGGUGAGCGAAUCUCGGAAAGCCGGUCUCAGUUCGGAUUGGGGUCUGCAACUCGACCUCAUGAAGUCGGAGUCGCUAGUAAUCGCAGAUCAGCAACGCUGCGGUGAAAACGUUCCCGGG
RNAcentral lists this ribosomal RNA (1343 nucleotides) under uncultured bacterium. RNAcentral's name for it is "16S ribosomal RNA". It matches the Rfam family "Bacterial small subunit ribosomal RNA", at positions 28 to 1378 of the family's 1533-position model. The record is from RNAcentral.